UAGAGUUUGAUCAUGGCUCAGAUUGAACGCUGGCGGAAUGCCUUACACAUGCAAGUCGAACGGCAGCACGGGGGCAGCCCUGGUGGCGAGUGGCGAACGGGUGAGUAAUGCAUCGGAACGUACCGUGUAAUGGGGGAUAACGAGUCGAAAGACUUGCUAAUACCGCAUACGCCCUGAGGGGGAAAGUGGGGGAUCGUAAGACCUCACGUUAUACGAGCGGCCGAUGUCGGAUUAGCUAGUUGGUGGGGUAAAGGCUCACCAAGGCGACGAUCCGUAGCUGGUCUGAGAGGACGACCAGCCACACUGGGACUGAGACACGGCCCAGACUCCUACGGGAGGCAGCAGUGGGGAAUUUUGGACAAUGGGGGCAACCCUGAUCCAGCCAUGCCGCGUGAGUGAAGAAGGCCUUCGGGUUGCAAAGCUCUUUCGGCCGGGACGAAAUCGCUAUCCUAAUAAAGGUAGUGGAUGACGGUACCGGAAUAAGAAGCACCGGCUAACUACGUGCCAGCCGCCGCGGUAAUAC
Molecule: ribosomal RNA, 523 nt
Filed under: uncultured Cupriavidus sp.
Lineage: Bacteria; Pseudomonadati; Pseudomonadota; Betaproteobacteria; Burkholderiales; Burkholderiaceae
Description: bacterial SSU rRNA
Rfam family: Bacterial small subunit ribosomal RNA
Source: RNAcentral